Molecule: ribosomal RNA, 811 nt
Filed under: uncultured bacterium
Lineage: Bacteria
Description: bacterial SSU rRNA
Rfam family: Bacterial small subunit ribosomal RNA
Source: RNAcentral
AGAGUUUGAUCAUGGCUCAGAGCGAACGUUAGCGGCGGGCCUAACACAUGCAAGUCGAGGGAGAAAGGGGCUUCGGCCCUGAGUAAACCGGCGGACGGGUGAGUAACACGUGGGUAAUGUACCUACCGGCGGGGGAUAACAAUCCGAAAGGAUUGCUAAUACCGCAUUCGCUGGCAAGAUCUCCGGAUCUUGCCAGGAAAGAUGGCCUCUCAACGAAGCUAUCACCGGUAGAUCAGCCCGCGUCCCAUCAGCUUGUUGGUGAGGUAAUGGCUCACCAAGGCAAAGACGGGUAGCUGGUCUGAGAGGAUGAUCAGCCACACUGGGACUGAGACACGGCCCAGACUCCUACGGGAGGCAGCAGUGGGGAAUAUUGGGCAAUGGGCGCAAGCCUGACCCAGCCACGCCGCGUGAGUGAUGAAGGCCUUCGGGUCGUAAAGCUCUGUGGGGAGGGACGAAACAGUUGCCGGCUAAUAUCCGGCGACCCUGACGGUACCUCCUUAGCAAGCACCGGCUAACUCCGUGCCAGCAGCCGCGGUAAUACGGAGGGUGCAAACGUUGCUCGGAAUCAUUGGGCGUAAAGCGCGCGUAGGCGGCCUAGCAAGUCGGGUGUGAAAUCCCUCGGCUUAACCGAGGAAGUGCAUUCGAAACUACAAGGCUUGAAUACUCAAGAGGGUCUCGGAAUUCCCGGUGUAGAGGUGAAAUUCGUAGAUAUCGGGAGGAACACCAGUGGCGAAGGCGGAGACCUGGGGAGAUAUUGACGCUGAUGUGCGAAAGCGUGGGGAGCAAACAGGAUUAGAUACCCUAGUAGUCC